This 493-nucleotide ribosomal RNA is filed under the name uncultured bacterium. RNAcentral describes it as "partial 16S ribosomal RNA". It matches the Rfam family "Bacterial small subunit ribosomal RNA", at positions 28 to 507 of the family's 1533-position model. The record is from RNAcentral.
GACGAACGCUGGCGGCGUGCUUAACACAUGCAAGUCGAACGGUGAAGGGACCGGUUUUUGCUGGUUCUGGAUGAGUGGCGAACGGGUGAGUAACACGUGAGUAACCUGCCCCCUUCUUCUGGAUAACCGCAUGAAAGUGUGGCUAAUACGGGAUAUUCUGCGCCUGCUGCAUGGUGGGUGUGGGAAAGAUAUUGUUUCGGUGGGGGAUGGGCUCGCGGCCUAUCAGCUUGCUGGUGGGGUGAUGGCCUACCAAGGCGGUGACGGGUAGCCGGCCUGAGAGGGUGGACGGUCACACUGGGACUGAGACACGGCCCAGACUCCUACGGGAGGCAGCAGGGGGGAAUAUUGCACAAUGGGCGCAAGCCUGAUGCAGCGACGCCGCGUGAGGGAUGGAGGCCUUCGGGUUGUAAACCUCUUUCGCCAGUGAAGCAGGCCUGUCCCUUUUGUGGGUGGGUUGACGGUAGCUGGAUAAGAAGCGCCGGCUAACUACGUG